Alosa alosa (allis shad) is the source of this 801-nucleotide RNA transcript. It is a transcript of the gene named phospholipase A and acyltransferase 3-like, with no coding region annotated. The transcript is spliced from 5 exons. Lineage: Eukaryota; Metazoa; Chordata; Actinopteri; Clupeiformes; Clupeidae. The record is from RefSeq and is a predicted model, not a curated record.
CAAAGUGGAUGGGUGAGGCCUAAAGCGAUACGUUUCGGUUUAUAGCAAACUGAGCAGUAUCACACAGGAGUAGACCAGGAGGUCAGCCUUUCUUGCUACAUCAACUGAUAUCACACAUGGCGGUAAGGAGCCGGGAGACCUAAUUGAGAUAGACAGAAAAACAUACCGGCACUGGGCAUUGUUCAUUGGAGAUGGAUAUGUUAUUCACCUCACAAACGAUGACGAUUCUUCUACAAGUGUUGCUGCCAUUGGUGCAUCAUCUGCCUCCGCCGUUGCUAUUGUGAAGAAACAGAAACUGAAGGAUGUAGCAGCUGGUCAUGUAUGGAGAGUGAACAACAGCCUGGAUAAAAAAUGGAAGGCAAAACCCUCAGAUGCCAUCUUGAAAAACGCAGAGCAAAGAGUUGGUGAGAAGAUACGAUAUCGUCUCAUCAAAUACAACUGUGAGCAUUUUGUUACCGAACUACGAUAUGGCCAACCAAAAUCCAGACAGGCUCAGACAGCAAAAUUAGUAGCAGCAGGAGGCUCAGGUGUGGUUCUAGCAGGUGUGCUUGGCGCUAUUGUUGCAGCACUUGUUAGUGUUUUCUCUCCACGCACCUUCUAAUUGAGGAUAACAAGUACAAUAACGCCCUGUAUGUAAUCUCACAAACUGCACACUGCAUCAGCAGCACUCACGUCAUGUGUUAUUGAAUAUACUGCAGUGUAACAUGGGCUAAUGCAUCAAAUUAAUAAAAAAGUAUAAAACACUAAAAGCCUGAAAGUAAACUGCAGUACACAGGAGUUAGAGUGAUAUAGGACCUUUCA